RNAcentral lists this long non-coding RNA (549 nucleotides) under Marmota monax (woodchuck). The record is from RNAcentral. Lineage: Eukaryota; Metazoa; Chordata; Mammalia; Rodentia; Sciuridae.
GGCGGAGCCUGGGGUGACGUCGCCCCGCGGGCUCCGGGUGCUUCUGAGGAAUGCGGGCUCGGGCUCGGGCUCCGGCUCCGCGCCGCCGCCGCCUCCUGCCUGAGAGACGCGCGCCAGCCUCGGCCGCGCGCUCCGUGCCCCGCGCCACUCGCUGCCUUUGUUCGCCGCCUGAGCCCAGACACCAGCGGCCGCUCUGAGGCAGCGAGCGGGAAAGGCAGCUCCCUGACCUGCUCCAGAAAUCGGAGUUUGAGAGGCGAGUUUGUAAACAGUGUGGCCGGAUUCCCGAGGUCGAGCGCAGGAGACAGACCACAGCCGCCCCAGGAGAGGUGUCCGGGGGUUAUGUCACCAAGGCUGCGGUCCCACCAGAGUGGUUGCCGGUAGGAAGAAAGGGGACUGUGGAAGCAAUCCCUAAGGCAAUAUCGACCUACAGGGGAAAUUCAGUUUCUUAUUCAUGCAAUAAGGAAUAAGACACUCCACCCCCAUAAAAAAAAAAACUUGUUGUUCCUUGUUCGUAUAAUAAAUAAAACUUGGACCAGAAUAAAAUGCUCG